UACGUAGGAGGCAAGCGUUGUCCGGAAUUACUGGGUGUAAAGCGCGUGUAGGCGGCAGGCUAAGUCUGUGGUGAAAUCGCUCGGCUCAACUGGGCGGGGUCCAUGGAAACUGGUCAGCUGGAGGACGGUAGAGGUGAGUGGAAUUCCCGGUGUAGUGGUGAAAUGCGUAGAGAUCGGGAGGAACACCCGUGGCGAAGGCGGCUCACUGGGCCGGUCCUGACGCUGAGACGCGAAGGCGUGGGGAGCGAACGGG
RNAcentral lists this ribosomal RNA (253 nucleotides) under uncultured bacterium. RNAcentral's name for it is "partial 16S ribosomal RNA". It matches the Rfam family "Bacterial small subunit ribosomal RNA", at positions 524 to 776 of the family's 1533-position model. The record is from RNAcentral.